UAGGAGGCAAGCGUUAUCCGGAAUGACUGGGCGUAAAGGGUGCGUAGGUGGUUUGGCAAGUUGGUAGCGUAAUCCCGGGGCUCAACCUCGGUGCUACUACCAAAACUGUUGAACUUGAGUGCAGGAGGGGUGAAUGGAAUUCCCAGUGUAGCGGUGGAAUGCGUAGAUAUUGGGAAGAACACCAGCGGCGAAGGCGAUUCACUGGACUGUAACUGACACUGAGGCACGAAAGCGUGGGGAGCAAA
Molecule: ribosomal RNA, 245 nt
Filed under: uncultured bacterium
Lineage: Bacteria
Description: partial 16S ribosomal RNA
Rfam family: Bacterial small subunit ribosomal RNA
Source: RNAcentral